GAUGAACGCUGGCGGCGUGCCUAACACAUGCAAGUCGAGCGAGAUAAAUGUGAGUGGAGACUUCGGUCAAAGCGAUCAUUUUGAAAGCGGCGGACGGGUGAGUAACGCGUGAGCAAUCUGCCCCAUACAAAGGGAUACCCACUGGAAACGGUGAUUAAUACCUUAUAAGACCACGAAGUCGCCUGGCUUAGUGGCCAAAGAUUUAUCGGUAUGGGAUGAGCUCGCGUCUGAUUAGCUAGUUGGUGAGGUAAUGGCUCACCAAGGCGACGAUCAGGAGCCGACCUGAGAGGGUGAACGGUCAGACUGGAACUGAGAAACGGUCAAUACUCCUACGGGAGUCAGCAGUGGUGAAUAUUGCUUAAUGGGCGCAAGCCUGAUGCAGCAACGCCGCGUGAAUGAUGGAGGCCUUCGGGUCGUAAAGUUCUGUCCUAAGGGAAGAAUACAGUGACGGUACCUUAGGAGGAAGCCCCGGCUAACUACGUGCCAGCAGCCGCCGCGG
This 499-nucleotide ribosomal RNA is filed under the name uncultured bacterium. RNAcentral's name for it is "partial 16S ribosomal RNA". It matches the Rfam family "Bacterial small subunit ribosomal RNA", at positions 28 to 523 of the family's 1533-position model. The record is from RNAcentral.